This 379-nucleotide long non-coding RNA is filed under the name Cavia porcellus (domestic guinea pig). Its description in RNAcentral is "lncRNA (ENSCPOG00000035755.1)". The record is from RNAcentral. Lineage: Eukaryota; Metazoa; Chordata; Mammalia; Rodentia; Caviidae.
GGAAAAAAGCACAUAACUCUAAGUUUAAAGCUUUUUAUUCAGUAAACUCAAGAAUGUGAACCGAAUACUCUGUCUUUCAAAAACCGAAUUUCUCAGCAAUGAGCCCUCACAGAGAAAAUUUUAGAGAAAAUAUGUCUGGAAAAAGCAAAAUGACUCUAGAGGGAGAAUAUUAAUGUGGCAGGGAUUCGCGAAAGCACCAUAAUCUUUAAGGAAAAUGACAUUUCAGUGGCACAUGAGAACAGACCUUUGGGGUCCUACUGCCUGGGCUCCGGAGAACUAGCGAAAUCAUUUGAAAUACAAAUAAAUUGAAUAUGUUAUUAUGUAUGCAUUGUAAAAUAAAGAAAACCUUCAACAGUUUGGAAACGCAAUCAUCAUCAUG